RNAcentral lists this ribosomal RNA (490 nucleotides) under uncultured bacterium. RNAcentral describes it as "bacterial SSU rRNA". It matches the Rfam family "Bacterial small subunit ribosomal RNA", at positions 31 to 516 of the family's 1533-position model. The record is from RNAcentral.
AUNGAACGCUGGCGGCAGGCCUAACACAUGCAAGUCGAGCGCGAAAGCACUUCGGUGUGAGUAAAGCGGCGGACGGGUGAGUAACGCGUAGGAAUCUACCUAGUAGUGGGGGACAACUCGGGGAAACUCGAGCUAAUACCGCAUACGCCCUACGGGGGAAAGCGGGGGACCUUCGGGCCUCGUGCUAUUAGAUGAGCCUGCGUUGGAUUAGCUAGUUGGUGGGGUAAUGGCCUACCAAGGCGACGAUCCAUAGCUGGUCUGAGAGGAUGAUCAGCCACACCGGGACUGAGACACGGCCCGGACUCCUACGGGAGGCAGCAGUGGGGAAUAUUGCGCAAUGGGCGAAAGCCUGACGCAGCCAUGCCGCGUGUGUGAAGAAGGCCUUCGGGUUGUAAAGCACUUUCAAUUGGGAGGAAAGGUUCACGGCUAAUACCCGUGAGCUGUGACGUUACCUUUAGAAGAAGCACCGGCUAACUCCGUGCCAGCAAAG